UACGUAGGGUGCAAGCGUUGUCCGGAAUUAUUGGGCGUAAAGGGCUCGUAGGCGGCCAACUAAGUCAGACGUGAAAUCCCUCGGCUUAACCGGGGAACUGCGUCUGAUACUGGAUGGCUUGAGAUUGGGAGAGGGAUGCGGAAUUCCAGGUGUAGCGGUGAAAUGCGUAGAUAUCUGGAGGAACACCGGUGGCGAAGGCGGCAUCCUGGACCAACACUGACGCUGAGGAGCGAAAGCCAGGGGAGCAAACGGG
RNAcentral lists this ribosomal RNA (253 nucleotides) under uncultured bacterium. RNAcentral's name for it is "partial 16S ribosomal RNA". It matches the Rfam family "Bacterial small subunit ribosomal RNA", at positions 524 to 776 of the family's 1533-position model. The record is from RNAcentral.